This 67-nucleotide transfer RNA is filed under the name Mecopoda elongata. RNAcentral's name for it is "tRNA-Trp". It matches the Rfam family "tRNA". Rfam says of the family: Transfer RNA (tRNA) molecules are approximately 80 nucleotides in length. Their secondary structure includes four short double-helical elements and three loops (D, anti-codon, and T loops). The record is from RNAcentral. Lineage: Eukaryota; Metazoa; Arthropoda; Insecta; Orthoptera; Tettigoniidae.
AAGGUUUUAAGUUAAUUUAAACUAAUAGCCUUCAAAGCUAUAAAUAAAAUACAAAUUUUAAGCCUUA